Molecule: ribosomal RNA, 465 nt
Filed under: Vreelandella stevensii
Lineage: Bacteria; Pseudomonadati; Pseudomonadota; Gammaproteobacteria; Oceanospirillales; Halomonadaceae
Description: partial 16S ribosomal RNA
Rfam family: Bacterial small subunit ribosomal RNA
Source: RNAcentral
CCUACGGGAGGCUGCAGUGGGGAAUAUUGGACAAUGGGCGAAAGCCUGAUCCAGCCAUGCCGCGUGUGUGAAGAAGGCCUUCGGGUUGUAAAGCACUUUCAGUGGGGAAGAAAGCCUUGGGGCUAAUACCCUCGAGGAAGGACAUCACCCACAGAAGAAGCACCGGCUAACUCCGUGCCAGCAGCCGCGGUAAUACGGAGGGUGCGAGCGUUAAUCGGAAUUACUGGGCGUAAAGCGCGCGUAGGCGGUCUGAUAAGCCGGUUGUGAAAGCCCCGGGCUCAACCUGGGAACGGCAUCCGGAACUGUCAGGCUAGAGGGCAGGAGAGGAAGGUAGAAUUCCCGGUGUAGCGGUGAAAUGCGUAGAGAUCGGGAGGAAUACCAGUGGCGAAGGCGGCCUUCUGGACUGACACUGCCGCUGAGGUGCGAAAGCGUGGGUAGCAAACAGGAUUAGAUACCCGUGUAGUC